This is a long non-coding RNA of Panicum virgatum (switchgrass), 866 nucleotides long. RefSeq lists it as uncharacterized. NCBI's taxonomy places the organism in Eukaryota, Viridiplantae, Streptophyta, Magnoliopsida, Poales, Poaceae. The record is from RefSeq and is a predicted model, not a curated record. The transcript is spliced from 2 exons.
UCUCCUUCUUAUCCAUUCACCCAGCUCCAUGACUCCAUCCAUUCAUCCCCGUCCGUUAGGCUUUAGCUGCUGCCCUACGACCUAAGCCUCUCGCGUAGGCGUAGCUGUCCGCCGACCGCCGCUCAGCCGCUCGCGCAGCCUCCCGCCACCUGCACUCGCUUGUACUCCCGCGCCGCCUGCUGCUGCCCCGCCCGCCUCCGCUCGGCCUCCCACGCAGCCUCCAAGCCAGCCCCACCCGCCGCUGCUCGGCCUCCCGUUGAUAGCCGCGCACACCGAGGCCGGUGCCGGGGCCGGGAGGGGCGGCCCCGCGAGCCGACACGGACGCUAGCGGGGAGGGGACAGGCAGUCGCUCGCGCCGAGGCGCCGCCGCCGGCGAGGAUGCAUGGGGCAGCGUGUGGCGUGGAGCGAAGGGAGUGGAGGCGCUACUCAUGGGCGGAGCUAGGGAAACUUACAUCCCUCAUGUGAUCUCAACGCUGCGGAGUACCGCUCGUGUCCUGCUAUGCGAGUCGCGUCCAGUCGGUGCUCGGUGCUCGACGGGACGGUGGCUCUCCGCUCGGAUGCUCCCCCACUCUGGUGAUCAGCAACCGGAGACCUGACGGCCUCGCGACCUCAUGUCCUCGCCCACAUGGGCCAUGGCUUGCGUCCUCUCCUGCUAGCGCGAGUUGCGAAGAAUAGAAGGUGCCUACCACCAGCCCACCGGGCACCGGCGGCCAAGACAACGACGUCCAAAGCCCUCCUCUGACCGGUGGCCCUCUCGGACCACUGUUCUAUAAUAUUGUUUAAUUAUUCAUGUUUAGAACUUAAAUUUUGGUUACUAUUAUGGAUUUGUUAUGAUCAUUAUAAUUUAUCGUCCAUUAUAUUGUGUA